This 305-nucleotide ribosomal RNA is filed under the name uncultured bacterium. Its description in RNAcentral is "bacterial SSU rRNA". It matches the Rfam family "Bacterial small subunit ribosomal RNA", at positions 337 to 634 of the family's 1533-position model. The record is from RNAcentral.
ACCUACGGGGGGCAGCAGUAGGGAAUUUUCGUCAAUGGGCGCAAGCCUGAACGAGCAAUGCCGCGUGAACGAGGAAGAUCUUCGGAUCGUAAAGUUCUGUUGAAGGGGAAAAAGAGCGGAGAGAGGAAAUGGUCUCCGAUUGAUAUUACCCUUCGAGGAAGUCACGGCUAACUACGUGCCAGCAGCCGCGGUAAUACGUAGGUGGCGAGCGUUAUCCGGAAUGAUUGGGCGUAAAGGGUGCGUAGACGGCCAGACAAGUCAGAAGUGAAAACCCGCGGCUCAACUGCGGGAGUGCUUUUGAAACU